This 253-nucleotide ribosomal RNA is filed under the name uncultured bacterium. RNAcentral's name for it is "partial 16S ribosomal RNA". It matches the Rfam family "Bacterial small subunit ribosomal RNA", at positions 524 to 776 of the family's 1533-position model. The record is from RNAcentral.
UACGAAGGGAGCUAGCGUUGUUCGGAAUCACUGGGCGUAAAGCGCACGUAGGCGGAUUUGCCAGUCAGGGGUGAAAUCCCGGGGCUCAACCUCGGAACUGCCUUUGAUACAGCAAGUCUUGAGUUCGAGAGAGGUGGGUGGAAUUCCUAGUGUAGAGGUGAAAUUCGUAGAUAUUCGGAAGAACACCAGUGGCGAAGGCGGCUCACUGGACUGGUAUUGACGCUGAGGUGCGAAAGCGUGGGGAGCAAACAGG